Molecule: long non-coding RNA, 3387 nt
Organism: Manis pentadactyla (Chinese pangolin)
Lineage: Eukaryota; Metazoa; Chordata; Mammalia; Pholidota; Manidae
Exons: 4
Source: RefSeq, a predicted model, not a curated record
GGCAAAUAAGGGAGCAGCCAGUUCUCACAAGGGAUCAGGGCAGGCUUCCUGGAGGCAGUGCCACCCAAGCUACAUCUUGAGCACUGAAAUUUUGGUGGUAGGACACCACCAGAGAGCAGAGACCCAGGAUUUGCCCUCUGGGAACCAGCAGCUUGAGGAGAAGCUCUUUUCCAUCAGGAAGAGAGGAGUCAGUGGCUUCUGUCUUUGCCCUGACCUUGACCUUGACCUUGGCCUACUCCUGCUUCCAUGUGGGAGGGACCAAGGAUCUUUCUUUCUCCAAUAUUUUGUCUGGGUUUUGAUGGAGAGUCAACUUCUCAUUUCAACAGAGCUUAGCUGUGAGCCAGAACCUUUCCAGGCUUAGGGAUCUGUGUGGCUGGAAAAUGAACCUUUCCUCAGAUGAAGGACGUUUGAUAAGAAAGCUGACGAGGAAAGAGCACUGUGUGAGCCCACACACGAGCCCACGCAGGCAGGUGCCCCGGCCGUUGUACUAGCUGGCCUUCAGACUCCAGGCUCAGCCAGCCUCGGGGUUUGUCCUGCCUGCUCCCGCCUCCUGGGACCUUCUUUCUUCGGCUCCUCAGGUCUGCUUGCUUCUUGUUACUGUGGCUUUGACUGCAGUGCCACCUCUUCAGGAGACAGUCCCUGCUACUGUUCUUGGAUGCGGAGUCUGAGGCUCAGAGAGGUGACAUGACUGGUCCCAGUGCUCGUGACCAGCUGGACCCUGACUCAGGACCUAAGUGUCCAUCUGAUUUCAGUCCAGUAUUCUGUACCCUACGCUAGGCAGCCUGUGGCUGACUGAGUGCAAACUGCAAGCGAUGAACAUCAUCACCGUCAUUUCAUUUUUUAUGAGUGUGACAAUGCCUGUGACUGGCCUUGCUAGGCUCCCUGCCCCUCCCCACUGCCUGAGGACUCGCGGUGCUCCUGACCCAGCCCCUCUUCUUGAGCCCAGGUGAAGUUUAAUGCCCAGUUGGGCAGUGGGAUGCCUCGGGCCCAAUUCCAUGGAGACCUUUGGUGCCCCUAAAGCUGUGACCCACGGCAGAGUGGCACUAAUGUCCCCCAAAGAAGGGUGCCACCAAAUGGUGUCACAUCAACCUUGCCUCCACACCUGUCCGCACCUGCCCCCUUUAGGGCGGGGUGAAACGAGGCGCCGAGAAGGCAGGUGUGGACGUGCCCUGGAAGGCUGCACUGCUUGGCUGAGGUGGUGGCCGGCAGCAGAGCUCACUCAGGGCCCGGGUGGCACCCUGGACUCAGCCCCAUGGCCAGCUCUGACUGCGGGACCCAGACGUGGGGUCUGGGCAUGCAGCAGGAGGCUGACUGGGGCAACCGGAAGCGAGCACACGUGGACUGGCCGGAGGGGGAGCUGCAGGGCAGGACAGGGUGCCCACACCUGCUUUUCCCAAACAGAUGCCUCCCUUCCAGACACCCCCACCAUGUCUGCUGUUUUCCAGGAAAGGCUGAUACAAUCGCUGACUCGGCUAACCGAGGCUGGUAUCACGCUGGCAGCCCUGCAGGACGAGCCUGCUGCUUCCAGGGCCCAGCAGGGCUUGCCCAGGAGCCCUGGGCCUGGCCAGCCUCCCGUUACCCACCCUGCACUAUUGUUCCUGCCUGGCACCUGGCUCUGCAUCUCUUGCUCUCCUUCUCUCCUGCCCCACCCUCUAGACCAAACAUCACUUCAUGCCCAAACCCAGGCUCCUUCCAGUUCCCCAGGUGCCAACCUUGUUCGUGUCUGAGGCACGAUCGGGUGACAGGACCCUGGCAGCACCCACUCCCCACCCACACCUCAGGUUUCCUGGAUGCGGGGGCCCCAGACCUGGUAUAGAUUGAAUUCCAGGACCACAUGUACAGGCUGCGUGGCCUUGGGCGAGUCCCUUUACCUCUCUGAGCUUCAGUUUCCUCAUUGGUGAGAGGCAAGUUGCCUCCCCCGCUAUGCCCCGCUGUUACAAUAUGGAAAGUGUCUACUCGGGUGCUUGCAUGCAGGAGGUGUUCAGGAAAUGGUUUCCCAGCGUGACCUGUUCUCCCAGGGCCCGUGGGGAAGGCGGAAGCUGUGGAAGCUUCUGCUCCCUCAUCUAACUAAUCAGCAUGAGGUCAUGAUGCUCAGCACACAGCUCUGACCGUUCCCCUGUGACAUGGGCUACAGCUGUGGAGCCUUCACCUGGCCAGCUCCCGGCUCCCGGCUCCAGCGGAGCCGACUGGCGCGCUGGGCCUCCCAGCAUUAAUAGAGCCUGAGGUGUGGGUAGGGAGUGGGCACUGCCAGGGACACUGGCUGGGCAAGAUUGGGACUGGGAAGAAUGCAGCCUCGCAAAGCACAGAGUGGGCAAGGCUGCCCUGUGGAGGGCAUCAGCUGGGCACCCCCAGGCUGGGAGGUCUGGCCAUCUGGGGCAGCUCUGGGUGAGGAACCCCAGGCCAGGAAGCCCCUGUUGGAGGCUUAGUUCCCAGGCCCUGGUUCUGGUUGUAGUAUGUCACCCCUGCUCCAGACAGCUUCUUGUUUGUUUUGGGCUUGAGAGAAAUUAAUGAAAUUGUUACUGUAAUUAUCAGCCUGGCGGGCACCAUCCAGGGAUGGCAAAGAGGGGCUGGUAGGCAAGCAGGAGAGGGCCUGGGCACAGGGAUGGCUCAACUAGUGACAGGUGAAGAGGGUGGAGUGUGUGACUGAGCGGUGGAUUGGAUAAGGGAGUGAAUCAGUGAAUGAAUAAGUGAAUUAAUGAGUGAGUAAGCGAGUGCCUAAGUAGUAUGUGCAAACAUUUAUGUAGCUCUCGCUACAUGGCCAACAUUCUUUAAGCAUUUUACUUGUCUGAACUCACUCACUUCACAAAAAUGUCAUGAAAUAGGCAAUAUUACUACUUUCAUCUUACAGAGAAUGCCGCUCCCAGCACAGAGAAGUUAGGGAACUUGCCCACAGUCACAUAGUUGGUAAGUGACUGAGUCGGGAUUUGAACCCAUGCAGGCUGGCUCCAGGGUCUCUGGGUACCAAGUGGGAGCAUAGCCCCAGGGCUGUGAAGGGAGCUCAUAGCUGAGGGGUGGGAAGAUGGAUUUUGUAGUCUGAGCUUGGAGACUUCAGACUUCACAGUAACAGUGUGUCAUUCAUUCAUUCAUUCCACAAAUCAGCUAGUCACUCACUCAUCUAGCUGCUCACUGGCUCAGGGAGAGGGAGGUGUAGGAUUAGUAAGAUUCUAUUCUGCUCUGGCAGAAUUUGUCCUUCAGGGCUCAGCUCAGAUGCCACCUCCUCCAGAAAGCCUUCUCCGACUUCUCUGUGGCCAAGGGCCCAUAGGCUCCUGAGCUUCCCUCACUAUUAUCUUCCCCUCUGCCUGCUUCCCUCACCUGCUGGACAGUGCUUUUGUCUCUGAAAUUUUGGUAUACUGUGGGUGCCUAAUAAAUGCUUGAUGAGUCACCUUG